This 245-nucleotide long non-coding RNA is filed under the name Elaeis guineensis (African oil palm). Its description in RNAcentral is "long non-coding RNA (EGUI_LNC007478)". The record is from RNAcentral. Lineage: Eukaryota; Viridiplantae; Streptophyta; Magnoliopsida; Arecales; Arecaceae.
AUGGUGUUCGUUGGCUACAGUAGGUUCGUUGUAGGAGUAGGUUUAUUCUUAUAGGAGAUUUAUCGACCUUAGUAGUUGAGGAGUAGUCCCAUGCGACCUAAGAGACUGAGUCCUUAAAUCUAUGGCUACAAUAACGUGAUAAUAAAAGAAGUUUUCAUGGGAUUCACGAUUGGACUUAAGCUAAUUAAGUCUUGCAUAUGACAGAUGCUUAGAGUUUGACGAGUUUUCAUGAUUUGCAUCCUAUC